RNAcentral lists this ribosomal RNA (253 nucleotides) under uncultured bacterium. Its description in RNAcentral is "partial 16S ribosomal RNA". It matches the Rfam family "Bacterial small subunit ribosomal RNA", at positions 524 to 776 of the family's 1533-position model. The record is from RNAcentral.
UACGUAGGGUGCAAGCGUUGUCCGGAAUUAUUGGGCGUAAAGAGCUCGUAGGCGGUCUGUCGCGUCGGAUGUGAAAGCCCGGGGCUCAACCCCGGGUCGGCCGUGCGAACUGUCGAGCUGGAGCACUGUAGAGGCAGGUGGAAUUCCGGGUGUAGCGGUGGAAUGCGUAGAGAUCCGGAAGAACACCGGUGGCGAAGGCGGCCUGCUGGGCAGUGGCUGACGCUGAGGCGCGACAGCGUGGGGAGCAAACAGG